UACGGGGGGGGCAAGCGUUGAUCGGAAUUACUGGGCGUAAAGGGUGCGUAGGCGGUGUUCUAAGUCAGAUGUGAAAACUCUGGGCUCAACCCAGAGCCUGCAUCUAAAACUGGAGUGCUAGAGUUCUGGAGGGGGUAGCGGAAUUCCUGGUGUAGCGGUGAAAUGCGUAGAUAUCAGGAGGAACACCGGUGGCGAAGGCGGCUACCUGGACAGAAACUGACGCUGAGGCGCGAAAGCUAGGGGAGCAAACAGG
This 253-nucleotide ribosomal RNA is filed under the name uncultured bacterium. Its description in RNAcentral is "partial 16S ribosomal RNA". It matches the Rfam family "Bacterial small subunit ribosomal RNA", at positions 524 to 776 of the family's 1533-position model. The record is from RNAcentral.